UCCUCCCAUCUCUGUUUUCAUUUGGAUCCAGCUUCAGCUUGCUCCUAGUUUAUGGUUAAUCAAUAACUUGCUUUCUAUAGAGGCUCCAGUGACUGGGUCUCGGGUGGCCGGCACUUAGUCUGGCAAUCCCAACAGGAAUAAGAAUGUCUCUUCUCUUGGGUGAGAAAUGACCAAGACUCUUUGCUGGUUGUUUUAAUUUGUCUGCUUGACUUCUGGCCUCCAGAACUGUGUGGCCAUCUGCGACACAAAGUAUGACCUUUCCAGAUGUGGGCAGCGUGUCCGUUCUUCUCCUGUAACUGAGUCUCUAGGAGGGAAACUGCAAGAGUGGUUGCACCUUUGGAUCCUAUGAAAUGGAAGUUCCUUUUGCUACAUAGAGAAAGUUUUGAAGAUACACUGGUUGGGAGUCCCAGUCUAUUAAGUCUUGGGGUCUGCAUGAAUGCAAGCAUGUGGAGCCUAUUUCAGAUGGAUGAAGUCAUACAACCUGCUAGGGAAAUUGAAACUUCAAGGCUUGUGAUGGUACCUGAUUAAGCAGCCUCAGAGCCCCGAGACUCACGUUCCCUGAGAUGUUCCACUUCUGCCUUUCCACGACAGUGCAGUUAUUUGCAAGGGUUCGUGGGACAUUUCAUUCUAAAGUUCUGAGAUUGACUUUUAAAAGUCACCGGUGCAGCUGAGGCCAGAAGACCUUGGCCUUGGAUUGCCAUGUUGACUGGCCACCUUUAAGCUAUGAGAUGCUCUGCCUGGAAGAGCUGUGGCUUACCUCUGGGCUCAGUGUUUACAGAGAUCGGAGGCAGAUAUAAUCCCAGGCACCCACUCUCUACAGCAGGACAGUUCCUGUCUAGAAGGGUCACCUGGGACAUCAGGUGGAAACCUAUGGCCUUGACCUCUAGCCUGGAGAUUAGAUGAUCAAGUAAUGGAGUCUGUAAACACCCGGACUACUCGGAUGUUUCAAAGGAAGUUCUGGACAGAAGUCAAGACUCUGGACUUGGAAGCUUUUUCAGUCCAUGUAUUAAAGGGGUACUUUUUGGUGACUUAAAACCAUUUUGGAAAAUAAUCAGAUUAAUACAGAGCAAGACCAGCCAUUUUUCAAGGCUGAGAAUGAUCUGUGGAGAUUAUCUAUGAUCCAAAACAGAUGGGAGGAUAUCAUUAAAAACUUGUAAAUAAGGCCCAAAGAGGGUGGGUCAUAUUCUCCCACAUUAAGAGGGAGUAAUGUUUGCAUUUGGGGGGGGGUUCAUGAGUGACAUGGGAAGCUGGUAUGUAUUUGCUUCACCCACACACAGUCAGACACGGAAUAACAUGUAACAUGCAGCUGUCUCUGUCUGUCUCUGUCUCUGUCUCUCUCUCUCUGUCUCUCUCUCUCUCCCUGGCUAAGAUAUAAUUAGCUAAAGGCUAUAUUUUAUUGUUUGCAAGCUCUUCCAGCCUUCUGUCUAACACUGAGUUUACUUUAGGGCAGUGGCCAACUGUGUACCUCCUGUUCUUCAGGAUAAAUUCUUAAGUACCUUCACCAUCUUA
Mus musculus (house mouse) is the source of this 1509-nucleotide long non-coding RNA. RefSeq annotates it as predicted gene, 33197. The record is from RefSeq and is a predicted model, not a curated record. Lineage: Eukaryota; Metazoa; Chordata; Mammalia; Rodentia; Muridae. The transcript is spliced from 3 exons.